Long non-coding RNA from Armigeres subalbatus, 751 nucleotides. RefSeq lists it as uncharacterized. Lineage: Eukaryota; Metazoa; Arthropoda; Insecta; Diptera; Culicidae. The transcript is spliced from 2 exons. The record is from RefSeq and is a predicted model, not a curated record.
GUAUAUAGUGUCCUUUUUUAUUAUUAUAUUAUUAUUUUUGAAUGCUAGCAAUUAGAGUUAAAUUAAGAAAUAAAAAAAAGUAUAUGAAUUGAAAACGAAUUAAUGAAUGUGAAUUGAAAAUGAUAUUAUGAAUCGAAUACAUCCACCUAUUUCCCAUACGCCUUGCACACCCUAACUAUAUAUCUAUGAACGCACACCUCACGUUAUGCGCUACCAUUGAGCGCUACCACCGAAAGCCACAGUCGGUCAUAACCGUCAAUGUCAUCUGACGUCUGGAAAGAACGACAUAGCAGAAGCCAAAAACGAGAACCGAGGAUGGAAUAAAAACAGCUGGAAUCAGCGAGUCCAGCUCUCUAUCAGUGAACGAUAUCGUCGAAGGUCAAAGUUGGCCAUUAGUGAAGUGACGCGUGGUGAAACCCCGGUUGUGAAGUGCCUGUAGUUUCGACGGGCGGUCCUCGCUGCUUCAACCCCUGGUGGACGCGGGUUAUUCAUCAUCCAAUUUAAGAAGUGAACCGUCGAAAGCCAUGAUGUGGAGAAAGCCAAGCUGUAUAAACCAAGCCCGGACCGCGCAGAGAAACCGUCGAAUCCGCCACGCUCGCUGUUAGAGGUUCCCGUCGAUGCUCGACCCAGUUCCGGACGCUACCUGUGCCUGAAGAAGUUUGCCGGCGUGUAUGAGGGAGCGCUGAACGAGAAAAUGGAGAAUCCCACCCCGGCGAGGAAGCGGUUGUGCUGUGGUACGUGCACGAAUGCA